GGCUGCAAUCAUCUUGUUAUUAACUGUAAUAAUAUGGAAGUCAUUGACAUAAUGAAGAAUGGAGGGCAUUCUGCAGGAGCGGCGGCGACAGUUUUUGAUGAUUGCUAUUUUAUGGCUUGUGAUUUUUCUCUUACUAGUUUUGAACAUUGUAAUAGGGAAGCGAAUAGAGUAGCUCAUGAAUUUGCUAGAUUAGUGAAAUGUUCUUUCACAAGGAAUUGGUUCGAGGAGCCUAUGAAAAAUAUUGUAUCUCUUCUUAUAGACGAUGUAACCAUUGUUUCUAGUUAA
Molecule: ribosomal RNA, 285 nt
Filed under: Triticum aestivum (bread wheat)
Lineage: Eukaryota; Viridiplantae; Streptophyta; Magnoliopsida; Poales; Poaceae
Description: partial small subunit ribosomal RNA
Source: RNAcentral